UUUCGGAGCGUAAACUCCUUUUGUUAGGGAAGAACAAUGACGGUACCUAACGAAUAAGCACCGGCUAACUCCGUGCCAGCAGCCGCGGUAAUACGGAGGGUGCAAGCGUUACUCGGAAUCACUGGGCGUAAAGGACGCGUAGGCGGAUUAUCAAGUCUUUUGUGAAAUCUAAUGGCUCAACCAUUAAACUGCUUGAGAAACUGAUAAUCUAGAGUGAGGGAGAGGCAGAUGGAAUUGGUGGUGUAGGGGUAAAAUCCGUAGAGAUCACCAGGAAUACCCAUUGCGAAGGCGAUCUGCUGGAACUUAACUGACGCUAAUGCGUGAAAGCGUGGGGAGCAAACAGGAUUAGAUACCCUGGUAGUCCACGCCCUAAACGAUGUAUACUAGUUGUUGCUGUGCUAGUCAUGGCAGUAAUGCACCUAACGGAUUAAGUAUACCGCCUGGGGAGUACGGUCGCAAGAUUAAAACUCAAAGGAAUAGACGGGGACCCGCACAAGCGGUGGAGCAUGUGGUUUAAUUCGAAGAUACGCGAAGAACCUUACCUGGGCUUGAUAUCCUAAGAACCUUGUAGAGAUACGAGGGUGCUAGCUUGCUAGAACUUAGUGACAGGUGCUGCACGGCUGUCGUCAGCUCGUGUCGUGAGAUGUUCGGUUAAGUCCGGCAACGAGCGCAACCCACGUAUUUAGUUGCUAACAGUUCGGCUGAGCACUCUAAAUAUACUGCCUUCGUAAGGAGGAGGAAGGUGUGGACGACGUCAAGUCAUCAUGGCCCUUAUGCCCAGGGCGACACAC
This 791-nucleotide ribosomal RNA is filed under the name uncultured Campylobacter sp. Its description in RNAcentral is "bacterial SSU rRNA". It matches the Rfam family "Bacterial small subunit ribosomal RNA", at positions 416 to 1221 of the family's 1533-position model. The record is from RNAcentral. Lineage: Bacteria; Pseudomonadati; Campylobacterota; Epsilonproteobacteria; Campylobacterales; Campylobacteraceae.